This 700-nucleotide ribosomal RNA is filed under the name uncultured bacterium. Its description in RNAcentral is "bacterial SSU rRNA". It matches the Rfam family "Bacterial small subunit ribosomal RNA", at positions 94 to 825 of the family's 1533-position model. The record is from RNAcentral.
AGUGGCGGACGGGUGAGUAACACGUAAGAAUUUGCCUUUAGGAGGGGGACAACAACUAGAAAUGGUUGCUAAUACCCCAUAUGCUUUCGAGUGAAAUGGAUUUUUCCGCCUAGAGAGAAGCUUGCGGCUGAUUAGCUUGUUGGUGAGGUAAUGGCUCACCAAGGCGACGAUCAGUAUCUGGUUUGAGAGGACGAUCAGACACACUGGAACUGAGACACGGUCCAGACUCCUACGGGAGGCAGCAGUGGGAAUUUUCCGCAAUGGGCGAAAGCCUGACGGAGCAAUACCGCGUGAGGGAUGACGGCCUAUGGGUUGUAAACCUCUUUUUUCAGGGAGGAAUCAAUGACGUGUACCUGAAGAAUAAGCAUCGGCUAACUCCGUGCCAGCAGCCGCGGUAAGACGGGGGAUGCAAGUGUUAUCCGGAAUCACUGGGCGUAAAGCGUCUGUAGGUGGUCCAAUAAGUCAACUGUUAAAUCUUGAGGCUCAACCUCAAAAUCGCAGUCGAAACUAUUAGACUAGAGUAUAGUAGGGGUAAAGGGAAUUUCCAGUGGAGCGGUGAAAUGCGUAGAGAUUGGAAAGAACACCGAUGGCGAAGGCACUUUACUGGGCUAUUACUAACACUCAGAGACGAAAGCUAGGGUAGCAAAUGGGAUUAGAUACCCCAGUAGUCCUAGCCGUAAACAAUGGAUACUAGAUGUUG